Molecule: ribosomal RNA, 277 nt
Filed under: uncultured prokaryote
Description: partial 16S ribosomal RNA
Rfam family: Bacterial small subunit ribosomal RNA
Source: RNAcentral
UACGGAGGUGGCAAGCGUUGUUCGGAAUUACUGGGCGUAAAGGGCGCGUAGGCGGCAUGGCAAGUCAGAUGUGAAAGCCCCGGGCUUAACCUGGGAAUUGCAUCUGAAACUGUUGUGCUUGAGUUCUGGAGGGGGUAGUGGAAUUCCCAGUGUAGCGGUGAAAUGCGUAGAUAUCGGGAGGAACACCGGUGGCGAAGGCGGCUUUCUGGCCAGUUACUGACGCUCAUGCGCGAAAGCUGGGGUAGCGAACCGGAUUAGAUACCCGGGUAGUCCCUGA